RNAcentral lists this transfer RNA (81 nucleotides) under Trichonephila clavata. It matches the Rfam family "tRNA". Rfam says of the family: Transfer RNA (tRNA) molecules are approximately 80 nucleotides in length. Their secondary structure includes four short double-helical elements and three loops (D, anti-codon, and T loops). Lineage: Eukaryota; Metazoa; Arthropoda; Arachnida; Araneae; Nephilidae. The record is from Rfam by way of RNAcentral.
GCAGUCGUGGCCGAGUGGUUAAGGCGAUGGACUCGAAAUCCAUUGGGGUCUCCCGCGCAGGUUCGAAUCCUGCCGGCUGCG